RNAcentral lists this ribosomal RNA (844 nucleotides) under Pseudomonas taiwanensis. RNAcentral's name for it is "bacterial SSU rRNA". It matches the Rfam family "Bacterial small subunit ribosomal RNA", at positions 81 to 918 of the family's 1533-position model. Lineage: Bacteria; Pseudomonadati; Pseudomonadota; Gammaproteobacteria; Pseudomonadales; Pseudomonadaceae. The record is from RNAcentral.
UGCUCCUUGAUUCAGCGGCGGACGGGUGAGUAAUGCCUAGGAAUCUGCCUGGUAGUGGGGGACAACGUUCCGAAAGGAGCGCUAAUACCGCAUACGUCCUACGGGAGAAAGUGGGGGAUCUUCGGACCUCACGCUAUCAGAUGAGCCUAGGUCGGAUUAGCUAGUUGGUGAGGUAAAGGCUCACCAAGGCGACGAUCCGUAACUGGUCUGAGAGGAUGAUCAGUCACACUGGAACUGAGACACGGUCCAGACUCCUACGGGAGGCAGCAGUGGGGAAUAUUGGACAAUGGGCGAAAGCCUGAUCCAGCCAUGCCGCGUGUGUGAAGAAGGUCUUCGGAUUGUAAAGCACUUUAAGUUGGGAGGAAGGGCAGUAAGUUAAUACCUUGCUGUUUUGACGUUACCGACAGAAUAAGCACCGGCUAACUCUGUGCCAGCAGCCGCGGUAAUACAGAGGGUGCAAGCGUUAAUCGGAAUUACUGGGCGUAAAGCGCGCGUAGGUGGUUCGUUAAGUUGGAUGUGAAAGCCCCGGGCUCAACCUGGGAACUGCAUCCAAAACUGGCGAGCUAGAGUAUGGUAGAGGGUGGUGGAAUUUCCUGUGUAGCGGUGAAAUGCGUAGAUAUAGGAAGGAACACCAGUGGCGAAGGCGACCACCCUGGACUGAUACUGACACUGAGGUGCGAAAGCGUGGGGAGCAAAACAGGAUUAGAUACCCUGGUAGUCCACGCCGUAAACGAUGUCAACUAGCCGUUGGAAUCCUUGAGAUUUUAGUGGCGCAGCUAACGCAUUAAGUUUGACCGCCUGGGGAGUACGGCCGCAAGGUUAAAACUCAAAUGAAUUGACGGGG